ACGCUCGACACCUACGGGAUGCAGCAGUGGGGAAUAUUGCACAAUGGGGGAAACCCUGAUGCAGCGACGCCGCGUGGAGGAAGAAGGUCUUCGGAUUUGUAAACUCCUGUUGUUGGGGAAAAAGAGGAUGGUACCCAACAAGGAAGUGACGGCUAACUACGUGCCAGCAGCCGCGGUAAUCUGAGCGGGCUGGCAAGGC
RNAcentral lists this ribosomal RNA (199 nucleotides) under uncultured bacterium. RNAcentral describes it as "partial 16S ribosomal RNA". It matches the Rfam family "Bacterial small subunit ribosomal RNA", at positions 326 to 539 of the family's 1533-position model. The record is from RNAcentral.